Long non-coding RNA from Acanthochromis polyacanthus (spiny chromis), 807 nucleotides. RefSeq lists it as uncharacterized. The transcript has 2 exons. NCBI's taxonomy places the organism in Eukaryota, Metazoa, Chordata, Actinopteri, Pomacentridae. The record is from RefSeq and is a predicted model, not a curated record.
UUUUGCUGCUCGAUAUUUGUAUGUUGUAUGUUUACUUUCUGUCAGUCUCAUUCAUUAAUCAAAUGAUUUCUCAGUAAGUCAGUGUAACCUAGCUAGUUUUCUUCUCAGAUGCGGUAGAUAACACACUGCCUUCUCCUCAGGGCCCUACAGCGAAAAGGAUUACUGAGCUCAAGGUGGAGCUCACUGCAUGCCUGAGAGGGGAUCUCUUCAUUCUGCAACAAGUGCAUGCCAAAGGCAUCGUCACAGAGAGACAGUAUGAAAACCUGAAACAUGCCUCUCAGCCAGAAAAAACAGUUAUUGACCUGAUAGAUCAGGUGAUAGGGAAAGGUGAGAAGACCUGUGUUAACUUUCUUCAGGUUCUCAAAGACCCUGAAGUUCUCAAGACAUAUCCAAAACUGAAAGAAAUUCUAAACAUUUAAUCUUAGCAAUCAUGGAGAGCAUUUAUAAAAGCUCCAAUGAGGAACUUUGUCUCUGUUUCUCUGCACCUGCUGUAAUCCUUUGUGUUUGUGGCUGUUUUGUUGUUUCUUUUAUGCAGAAAAUGUUUUGUGGAACUCAACUUGCAUGCUAAAUGGUUUAAAGUUUAAAAAUGUGUAUCUCCUGCAACAGAAAAAACAGCCAGUGACGACUGAGAAUACAGAACUUUUGACCUUUACAAUAUGGUCCAGCAGAUUAUAGUUGGGGAGGGAGACACAGGAGGAACAAUGGAGAGAAUUUGUUUUCCAAAGAGCAUUUUUGCUGUGAAAAUGUCUGUGCUUAUUUUUUUAUUGAUGGCAAACCUUAAAUAAAACCAGACAGUAAACUCUACAA